This 15540-nucleotide long non-coding RNA is filed under the name Gossypium barbadense (sea-island cotton). Its description in RNAcentral is "long non-coding RNA (GBAR_LNC000681)". Lineage: Eukaryota; Viridiplantae; Streptophyta; Magnoliopsida; Malvales; Malvaceae. The record is from RNAcentral.
GAUUUGUAGCUCGGCUAAGAAGAUGGUUAUGUUAUUAUAUGCUUCGAUUUAACCGAAGAGGCAUUUAAUGCCUUAUUGGUGUGUUUGGAAGGGUAUAUUAUACUGGAGUGUUAUAGAGGAUUUAUAUUAUUCUGGGUGUGUUUGGGGUGGAUAUUUUGGUGUGUUUGGGCGGAAUCCGCGUAUCUAUCAGAGUCCGAGUCUUGUUAAUAGGGGUAAAUAAGUGAAAAAGAUAAAUCGAAUAUAUUUAAUUGAUCAAGCUAUUGAAAUGAAACGAGAAAUUGAAUUGAGAAUUGAAAAUUUAGAUAUGAGAUUGAAAACAUGAACCAAAGGUUCAUGGAAUGAUUGGAGUUCGAAUUGAUGAUAUAUGAUGCCACUUGAUGAAUUGAAAUGUGAUUUGAGAUAUAUGAAUCGUAUGUAUAUAGUGAAAGCUAUCAGGGAUAGUAAGUUGAUAUGAUAUAAAUGAAAUUGACUGUUAUUGAAAUGGAUUAAAAUGGAAAAUGAUUGAUAAGUGCAUAGUUGAAUAUAGUUUAUUGAUAUUGAAUUGUGAAUAAAUUAAGGAAAGCUAUAUCGAUUAGUAAGUGAAAGAAUGGAAUAAAUAAUAAUGAAUUUAUUUAAGAAUUGAACAAUUACGUUAUUGUGUUUAUUAUAUGAUUUGUAUAGAAUUUAUAUGGUAAGUAGUUGAAAUUUAUCUAUGAAAUAAAUAAUUGAAUAAUUUGUAAUUGUUAUUAUGAUCUUAAGUAUUUGUUAUAUUAUUAAAUGUUCGGAUUAUAGAAAUACCACUGAGUAUACCUAUACUCAGCGUACGGCUUGUUUCCGUGCGUAGGUUAAGUAAAGAUAGAACAUUGAAUCAGCAUCCUAGGCCAAUCCCGAAUUCAAUAAGGUAAGGUGUGUUAAUUAUUAGUAAUGGCAUGUACCUAGGGUGUCUUAUGUGUGUGUCAUUUUGAAAUUGUAAAUGUAAGGAUGAAAUAAAUAGAUUUAGUUUUAGUUAUGAUAUAUAAUAGAAUUUGGUUAAUUUGGUAUGAAAUUGAUUUAUUUGAUGAUAUUUGAUAUUUGAUAUUUGAAUAGAAUUAAAUAUUGGAUAAUAUGUAAAUGUUUAAAUUUGGCAAAUAAUGAGUGUAUCUGGUUGUGUUGGUAUUUAUGUGUAUAUUAAUUGUAAAUGUCCAAUAGGUUCGAUAAUGCUCUGUAACCCUGUUCUGGGGACGGUUGGGGUUAGGGGGUGUUACAACUAAGCGAUAAGUUACAAGAAUGAAUGAGCUUGGUAAGUCUAAGGAUCAUAGACCACCAGAACAAUAAGAGAAUUCGCCAAAGGUAAUAAUGAGUAAUGCCAAGGAUGCAUCUCAACCCAAUUAGGAUGAUAAAAAGAAGAUACUCCUUAGAUAAGGAGGUAUACAUAAUGUACGACAAAACGAAUUCGCUAGGAAAGUUAUGAAUCCCAUAUGGUUAAAGCUAGUCAUAAUUUGUAAGUCGAAAAAGAGCCAGCCAACAGGCUGGGUAGGCUAAUAAAGACUCUCGUAAGAGGAAAUGACUGCUCAAUGAUGAAUGACCAGUAAAGUUCUUUAGAGACUAAUGGAAAGUGGAGGUCCGUCGGGAUCAUGGAAAAUAAUAGAGAUCUUAUUAAUCUACCAAAGGAAAGAACUGCAUGUCUAGUAAAACCUCUUUAAGGAAUGGGUUGAGUACUUUAGUGCAGUGUGAUGGGCAUUAGUAGUCCAAGAUAGUGAGGAUAUCAUAUUCUGGUAAAGACCCCAAUUAUGAAAAUUACUUGGUAGUCGCCAAGUGACGCAAAUAAAAAAUAAUGAACAUAAAAAUCAAGGAGAUGGAAUAGUGAGAGAAGGAAGGGAUGAGACUAAGAGUGAACAUGGUAAAAAAUCGAACUAGGAUUUAAGUAUUUGCUUAGUAAAAUUCUAAUACUAUACACAUUUAAAACUUACUCUAUAUGCCUUUCCUCCAUAAACAGUAUUCAAACACUAGGGCCUCGUUGGGCGGGAUGUUACAGUAUUUGCUUUUUUCUUUAGGGAAUGUGGUGACAUUAGUGGUGGUUACAGUGGGCCGAGUCCCCCAUCUUCAAUAGCUUCCCAUGCUACUUCGUUGACAGACAUAAUGAAAGCCCUCAUACGAGCCUUCUAAUAAGCAUAGUUUGUUGAACCAAGUAGCAACAAAGGUCAAGCAAUCAAACUACCUUCCUUCAUGGAUUCCAUGGUCGUAAAUCGAACAAAGGAUCACCUUUACAUAUCUAUUGAACUUGUUCUAACACCAAUUGUAAAAAAAAAAUUAGUUUGUCGAUAUGAUAAACCAACUUGCUUAAUAUUCGUUGUAAUGUCAGUUAGAACAAAAACAAGUAACGUAAAAAAUAAGAGUAUAAAAAAAUCGACGCGACCAAUCUUUGUUAACACAAUUCAGACACAACAAUCCUACGUUUAUAGAGCCUCGCUCAAUGGAUGAUUUUAUUCAACAAUCGUUCGAAUCACCUAUUGGCUUAAGCUUAAUCUACUAUCACACAAAGAAGUAACUUUAGCCCCAAUACCAAGCCCUAUUGUCACAAAUUACUCACCUAAAUUCCUCACAAUACAAUCAAUAAACUCUCCAAAGAAUACAUAAAAGAAUGUCACAAAAUAACCACAAGAACGCAACAAAGUUAUCAACAAAGGCAUUUCAAAAACUGCUCUCGACAUAAGAAAGAAACAAAGGCUGGUAGUGAGAAAAGAAAGUGAAGAUCUUCUAGCUUUCUGUAUCAUGAUUUACCAAGGGAGAAUGAAAUCUAUCUAUAGGUUAUUACAGCAACAAGAUAAACUCAUUUAAAUCAACAAAUAAAUCCUUGAAAACCUCCAUUGAAUAAAUUUGAUAUUUAUCUCUAAAAAAAUAUCUCUUUAAUCAUAAAGAUAUAAUAAGACUUCCAUUUUAAUCAAACCACCUCAUGGAAGUCAAUUGGGAGUUUUAAUAUCCAAGUCAACCCAUGCUUCUAAUUUUGUCAAAUAUGCCACAUUCAAGUGGACCGAACUCUGCACAAACAAAACCUAUUCAAGGCCUAAGUCGAUAGGCCAAGUAGAGAAGCAAUUUCACUAUAACAGGAUAUGAAAUAAGCAACAAAAUUUUCCAAUAAAUUUGAAUACCCUAAGAGUCUUAAAGACCAACAUGUGCCUUCCAAUUUCUUUUACGUUUGCGUAAUCUUUUUUUACAUCAUAAAACCAUGGUCAGUGAUGGGCGUUGAAACCACCCAAUAUAAAUUCCUACGACAAAUAUAAUAGUAAAUUGAAAUAUAGACCAGUAGGAUCGAAUCCACAGGGACUGAUUAUCUAAUUUCGCCUUAUCUUAUGACCAGAUUCACUAUCGCGGUCACAGUCGUGCCCACGACCUGUGCGUAGUAGUGCUGAAAAAAAUAAAAAUAAAAAUGGGAUGUUUAAAUUAAUUAAGAUAAUAAAAUAAGAAAAUAUGAAAUGUAAUAAAAUAAAAUAAAAAUAGAUUUGAAAAUGUAAAAAUAAAUUUAAGAAAAUAAAAAAAUUGGUAAAUAAAAUAUUUUUAAACUUAGUCUUAGCCUCGGUGUACUCUAAUCUUGAAUCGAUCCUUGAAACAGAUUUUCCCUUCCAAGCGAUAAGCUGGUUAUAGCAAGCGAGGAUCCCUCAAACUGCCAACUCUUCCUCUCGUAGUUGAUCCUGGUAUCGCCUGCAAAUAGACUCAUAUCGAAUUUUCAACCACGUGGCACGUACCAAUAAUUUAAGACUUCAAUAGCCUUGUGAUCUGAAAAGCCCAACUAGAACGGCCUCAACUGUGUAGGUUGUUUAAAUCUGAUCACUAUCUCCCUUGACGGAAUCCAACUAGCUUUUUCCAAUUGAACACGCCAAUUUAUUCGUGGGAUUUUGAAUACAGCACUGCCGACUCAACUUCCCAACUAUACGCUAAAUGAUUCCAACCCAACGCAUACUUUUUGAAUUGAAAUCGAAUCAACUUUAUGGGAUAGUUUGAGGGAUGACUUUGUACUAUCCCAUACCGGAAGAUAGCGAAUACCGAGUUGCAAAGUAUUUAAUGUGGGUUCAUAUCUCAUGAUUACUUUGUCAAAGUUAUAACUAGGCUAAGGUUAAAAAAUGUUUAGUUAAUCAUGGAAAGAAUCAUGCCUGAAAAUAAAUGGUUUAAAUGGAAUUGUGAAAGUAGAAAGGGAAAAGGUCUUGGAAGGCAAUUAAACCAAAAGUUGAAAGUAAAAGAAAAAAAAUGAAACAUCACAAUUGAAUUGCUAAUACGUAGGAGGGGAAAAAAGAGAGAAUUUAUUAAAUGCCAAAGACAAAGUGUUAGAAUUGCCAAAGACAAAGUGUUAGAAUUAAGUGACCCGAAUUCUUAUUUAAAUAAAAUACAGUGGUUAAAUAAAAUAAAAGAAGAAUCUAUAUAGAAUUACACUUUUUUUAUUUUAUUUUAGAAUAAGGUUUUUUAAACCUUAUUAAAUUCUAUCUAUUUGAUAUUGAUUAGAAUAAGGUGUUUCAGUCUUACUAGAAUAUGGCUUUACAAGCCUAUAAAUAGACAUAGUCUAUACCUUUUGUAAAAAAAUUUUGAAUUCGACAUAGUGAAUUUUCUUUUCCUCUGCCCGUGGUUUUUUCCCGAAAGGGUUUCAACGUAAAAUUUGUGUUUUUUAUUUUUAUUUUUAUUUUAUUUUAUUUUCACAAAUUGGUAUCAGAGCUUUUGGGUUGUUCAUCUUAAUCACCGUAAUGGCGUCUUUGAAAUAUGAAAUUUCGCUGUUGGAUCGCAACACCAGAUUUGCGUUGUGGCAGAUUAAGGUGCAAGCAGUUCUUGAGCAGAUGGAUCUGGAGGAUACCCUACUAGGGAUAGAUAAGAUGCCUUCGACAUUAACAGAUGAAAAGAAGAAGCGUAAGGAUCGAAAGGCAUUAACACAAUUACAUCUGCAUUUGUCCAACGAAAUUUUGCAAGAUGUGAUGAAAGAGAAGACUGUCGCUGCAUUAUGGAAGAGGCUAGAACAAAUAUGUAUGUCGAAAACUCUGACAAGCAAGUUGCAUAUGAAGCAGCGUCUUUAUGCUCAUCGUUUGAAAGAAGGUGCGUCUAUACACGAGCACUUAACAGUGUUUAAAGAAAUUCUCUCAAACUUGGAGGCUAUGGAGGUUCAGUAUGAUAAGGAAGAUCUAGGGUUGAUUCUACUUUGUUCGUUGCCCCCGUCUUAUUUAACCUUUAGAGACACGAUUUUAUAUAGCCGAGAGUCUUUCACAGUUGAUAAGGUUUAUGAUUCUUUGACCUCAUAUGAUAAAAUGAAGCACCUUGUGGUUAAACCUGGCUCUUAGGGAGAAGGUCUCAUUAUUCAUGGGAGACAAGAUUGGAAUGCUGAUGAUAAUCGUGUAAGGACACAGGAACGAAAUCCUCGCGGUAAAUCUAAGGGUAGAUCAAAGUCUUCAAACAGAGGCAAAACUUGCAACUUCUGCAAGAAGAAAGGGCACAUUAAAUCUAAGUGCUACAAGCUACAAAAUAAGAUUAAAAGGGAGGCUGCGAAUCAAAAGGAAAAACAACCAGAAAAUUCCGGUGAAGCUGAUGUUGUAGAAGACUACAGCGAUGGUGAACUUCUAGUCGCUUCUGUCAAUGAUUCUAAAGUAAGCGAGGAGUGGAUACUUGAUUCAGGCUGUACCUUCUACAUAAGUCCUAAUCGGGAUUGGUUUACAACUUAUGAAACAGUAUCUGAAGGUGUUGUUUUGAUGGGAAAUAAUACUUCGUGUAAAAUCGCAAGUGUUGGAACAAUUAAAGUUGAGAUGUUUGAUGGAGUUGUCAGAAAACUUAGUGACGUACGACAUGUUCCAGAAUUGAAAAGAAAUUUAAUUUCAUUGAGCACUCUUGGUUCAAAAGGGUACAAAUACACAGCUGAAAGUGGGAUUUUAAAGAUUUACAAAGGUUCCAUUGUUGUGAUGAAAGGGCAGAGAAAGGUUGCCAAGUUAUAUGUUUUGCAGGGUUCUAUUGUUACUGGUGAUGCAGCUGUCGCUUCCUCUUCCUUGUCAGAUGAUGAUAUUACUAAACUUUGGCAUAUGCGCCUAGGGUAUAUGAGUGAGAAUAGCAUGGAAGAAUUGAGCAAAAGAGGACUUCUUGAUGGGCAAGGAAUUCACAAACUGAAUUUUUGUAAGCACUGUGUUUUUGGGAAGCAAAAGAGAGUUUGAUUCACCAGAGGAAUCCACAACACGAAGGGAACGUUGGAGUAUAUUCAUUCUGAUCUGUAGGGGCCAUCCAGAGUGCCUUCGAGAGGUGGAGCUAAUUAUAUGCUAACCUUUAUUGAUAAUUUUUUCAGAAAAGUUUGGGUAUUCUUUCUGAAACAGAAAAGCAAUGUGUUUUUCGCAUUUAAGUCUUGGAAAAUUAUGAUUGAAAAACAGACGGGCAAACAGAUAAAAAACAUCUGCACAGACAAUGGCUUAGAGUUCUGUUCUGAUGAGUUUAAUAGAUUGUGCAAGUCAGAAGGGAUUGUGAGACACUUGAUAGUUCGCCAUACUCAAUAGCAAAAUGGCGUUAUAGAACGAAUAAAUAGAACGAUCAUGGAGAAAGUUCGAUGUAUGUUGUCAAAUGGCAACUUACCAAAGUCGUUUUGGGCAGAAGCAGCCUUUACUGUAUGUUUUUUGAUCAAUCGAUCUCUAUCCGUUGCCAUUGAGAAAAAGACUCCACAAGAGGUAUGGUCUAGUAAUCUUGCUAAUUAUUCUGAUUUAAAGAUUUUUGAAUGUCCUGCGUAUGCUCAUGUUGAUAAUGGAAAAUUGGAACCGAGAUCCAUUAAAUGCGUUUUUCUUGGUUAUAAAGCUGGAGGGUAUAAGUUAUGGUGUCCUGAAAAUAGAAAAGUUGUGAUUAGAAGAGAUGUUGUUUUUGAUGAAACUGCUAUGCUACCUAACUUAUCUCUUAAAGACUCUUCUAAUAAAAGAAAAUCAAAAGCAGGUGGAGCAUCAGAUUAAUACAAAGUCAACUCUUCAAGCCGGUACAAAAAUUUAGAAUAGAGUUGCUUCUUCACCACAAUACUCUAUCGCCAAAAAUAGAACUAAAAGAGAAAUUAAACCUCCAAAAAAGUAUGUCGAGGCCGAUCUAGUUGCUUAUGCUUUAAAUGUGGCUGAAGAUAUAGAUUCGAAUCAAGAGCCAUCUAAUUAUUCUAAGGCGGUUAGCUGUGAAGACUCAGAAAAAUGGACGUUUGCUAUGCAAGAGGAGACAGAAUUACUCCACAAAAACAAAACAUGAGAUCUUGUGAAACUUCCUAAAGGUAAGAAGACUGUUCGUUGUAAAUGGGUGUUUAAAAAGAAAGAAGGGACUUCAAGAGUUGAAGAACCUAGAUAUAAAGCAAGGCUUGUUGCAAAAGGUUACAGUCAAAUUCCAGGAGUGGACUUCACAGAUAUGUUCUCCCUAGUUGUGAAGCAUAGUUUGAUUCAAACUUUGCUUGGUAUUGUGGCCAUGUAUGAUUUGGAGUUUGAGCAGUUAGAUGUAAAAACUGCAUUUUUGUAUAGAGAACUUGAAGAGGAUAUUUACAUGCAACAACCAGAGGGUUUUACAGUCUCAGAAAAAGAGGACUAUGUUUGCUUGCUGAAAAAGUCCUUUUACUGUUUGAAACAGUCACCAAGGCAGUGGUACAAGAGGUUUGAUUCCUUUAUGACUUCUCAUGAUUUCAAAAGAAGUAGUUUUGACAGUUGUGUUUACUUUAAGAAAAACAAUGAUGGUUCUUUUGUGUAUCUACUUCUUUAUAUUGAUGACAUGUUGAUCGUAGAAAAAGAUAAAGGAGAGAUAAGAAAGGUCAAAGCCCAACUAAGUAAAGAAUUUGAGAUGAAAGAUUUGGGACCAGUAAAGAAGAUACUUGGUAUGGAGAUUCUCAGAGAUAGAAAAGUAAGUAAAUUGUACCUAAGUCAGAAGGGAUACAUUGAGAAAGUUCUUUGCAGGUUCAAUAUACAGAGUGCUAAGCCUAUUAGUACUCCUUUAGCAGCCCAUUUUGCAGCCCAUUUUAGACUUUCAUCGGCUUUGUCUCCACAAUCAGAUAAUGAGAUUGAGUACAUGUCACAUGUUCCAUACUCUAGUGCAGUGGGAUCUCUCAUGUAUGCUAUGGUUUGUUCACGUCUAGAUUUAUCAUAUGCAGUUAGUACAGUUAGUAGAUAUAUGGCGAAUCCCGGUAAAGAACAUUGGAAAGCAGUUUAGUGGAUUUUAAGAUACUUACGAGGUACUACUGAUGUUUGCUUACAAUUUGGAAGAACUAGAGAUGGAGUCAUUGGGUAUGUUGAUGCUGAUUUUGCUGGAGACCUUGAUAGAAGAAGAUCUCUCACAGGUUAUGUCUUUACAAUCGGAGGUUGUGCAAUCAGUUGGAAAGCCACUUUGCAAUCUACAGUCGCUUUGUCUACCACUGAAGCUGAGUACAUGGCGAUUACUGAGGCUUGUAAAGAAGCUAUUUGGUUGAAGGGACUCUUUAGUGAACUCAAUGAAGACCUUCAAAUCAGCACAGUAUUUUGUGACAGUCAGAGUGCCAUCUUUCCUACAAAAGAUCAAGUGUUUCAUAAAAGGACAAAACACAUUGAUGUUCAGUAUCAUUUUUUUCGUGAUAUUAUUGCUCGUGGUGAUAUUGUUGUGAGCAAAAUUAGUACUCAUGAAAAUCCUGCAGAUAUGAUGACUAAGUCACUUCCUGUAACCAAGUUUGAGCAUUGCUUAGACUUGGUUGGUGUUCAUUGUUGAAGUUAAACCCUUAAGAGGUUUUAUGGAAGAGGUGGAAAACUUGUUCGUUGAGAGUUCGCGAUGAAGAACUUGUUCUAUUGAGAAUUCGUGUCAAGGUGGAGAUUGUUAGAAUUAAGUGACCCAAAUCCUUAUUUAAGUAAAAUACAGUGGUAAAAUAAAAUAAAAGAAGAAUCCAUAUAGAAUUACACUUCUUUUAUUUUAUUUUAGAAUAAGGUUUUUUAAACCUUAUUAAAUUUUAUCUAUUUGAUAUUGAUUAGAAUAAGGUGUUUCAGUCUUACUAGAAUAUGGCUUUACAAGCCUAUAAAUAGACAUAGUCUAUUCCUCUUGUAAACAAUUUUUGAAUUCGAUAUAGUGAAUUUUCUUCUCCUUUGCCCAUGGUUUUUUCCCGAAAGGGUUUCGACGUAAAAUCUGUGUUUUUUAUUUUAUUUUAUUUUAUUUUAUUUUCACACAAAGUGUGUGUUCAAUUGGCUGUAGUCAUUAGAUAUUUAUACACACUUUUAAGGCUAAAAUUUAGCUAGAUUUUUAUUAAAUAUUAUCACUAAAUAAUUCAAAAUUUAAAAAUUAAAUUUAAACUAGAGAUUAAAUUUAAACUAAUUAUAGAAUUGUAACAAUAUAAAAAAUCCUUCAAUCUUUAUCCAGCCACUUUUGAAAAAAAAAACUUCAACCCUUCAAUCUUUAUCUAGUCAUUGUAUCUUCAAUCUUUCAAUCAAGCCCUCCUCUUUACUUUUUGUUUCAAUUUAGCCCCUUUUUGUAAGAGUUUGAAUUCAGCACACCAACUUCAUUCCUGAUAAAAAAAAUCCAAAUUUAAUAGCAUAUUUCUGAUAAUUAGCCAAAAAUAAAUAAAUUAAAAAUAAAAUUUUUCUUGCUAUUCAGUCAGAUUUCAAUUUUGGCCUCUAGAAUAUGAUGAAACUUGAUAUUUAAUCUAUAUACUCUAGUUUUUGACAUAAUUUAAUCCAUGUACUUUUAUAAUGUAAUUAAUUAGUCUAAAUAAUUAAUAUUGCUAACUAUUUCAAUCAAAAUAUUGACAUCAAUUUUUCUUAAAAGCAAUAUAAUAUUCAAGAAUGGAAGAAUUUCAAUGUAAUAUUCAAGGGAGUGUAAGGAAGAAGAUUACUUCUCUAGGGUUUGAUCCUCUCUUUGGGAUGCACACACUGUAUGUUGAUAUACAAUUUUUGUUAUUAUUUUGAAAUUCUCUUUUCUAUGAAGAAGAACUAAUGGAAUCAUAUGUUUAAUUUCAAUUGAGUUAUUUCUUGUUUCUUAUUCAUAUGCUAAUAAAGGUUAUUUAUAUUUAUUAGUUUUUAAUGCUUUUCAUUGUUUGAUCAAAUUUUAAUUUGUUUAGUAAAGUUUAAGGGAAACUUAAAAAGAAAGCCUAGAUUAGACUCAAUCAGUAUAGCUUGUGGUUGAUGUUUGAAAUUGUCAAUUUACGGUUAGGAUAGGAAUUUACCUAAACAUAAUAGGUAGCCAUAUUAAGGUUGAUGAUUAAUGAUUUUAUUAAAUUGCAAACUACCAUAGGAAUGUAGGAAAUUGGUCUAAUAAAUAGAUUUAUUAGUGAUUCGAGAAAACUUAGUGAUUAAUAAGAGGAUAGAAAGGCUCAUUAAAAGAAGAUAUAAUGGGGAAGUUAAGGGUGAGUUUGGAUGGGCGGUGCGUUUAGCUGCAGCUAGUGUAAAAACAGCAGUGGCGGUGAGAUUAGAUACUGUUGCAAUACUGUAGCGUGAGACAAAAAAUAAGCUAAACGCACUGCACCGUUGCCCCAAACGAAGCCUAAGUACCUAGAUUUAUAAAUAUUAAUAAUUGUUUUUCUUAUUUCAAAAUUUCAUUACCUCAUAUUUUUAUUUCAUGUUUUAUCAUUUUAAUUUGGAUUGAAUUAGUCAAUUAUUUAACUCAAUUCAAUGUCUAAAAAGAUUAAUAUUUUCAUACUAUUUGUAUAGUAUGUGUGUUUGAAAAUUCUGCAACACACUACCUCUAUCAGCACCUCCCAAAAGCCACCAUGCCACCAAAACCAUUGAAAAAAGCCUUAUUAUUCUAAGAGAGAACUGAGGCAAGGGAAAGACCGAGUAGGGAAGGGAUUGGAAAGAGAAAAGGAGCUUGCUUUCAGCCACCAAUGGCGCCCAGCGAUUCACCGCACAACAAACUUAAGAUAUGGGUUUUUAUUUUAGGUAUAAUGUCAAAUUUAUUCCUCAACGUUUAUAUUUUUUGUCAAUGACUCUUAUUGAUUUUUUUAGUUAAAUUUGAUCAUCAAUAUUUUAAAAAGAGUCAAUUUGAAUAUCAACUUUUCAAAAAGAAAUAUUAUGCUUUUUAUAGAAAUAUUGACUAAAAUGCUAAACUUUUAAACAUUUUAGCCUGUGUGGCAAUUCACAUGUAUAUUGUGCUUUUUUUUUGAAUUUUUAUGAUUUUUUAUAUAUAUUUUUAAAUUUUUAAAUUUCUAUAAUUUUUUAAAUUAUUGGUUGACAUAAUAUAUAAAACAAAUAGUAUGUUGUUAAUAUGAAUUAUGCAUGGAUUACCAUGUGGGUUAUUAUACUAACAUUGUUAAAAAUUAAUGUUUUAAUUAACAUUUUCAUAAAAAAGAAUGAGUUACCUCUUUUUAAAAUAUUAAUAAUUAAAUUUAACUUAGAGAAUAGAUGAAAGGUUAAAGAAAAUGUAUUUCACAUUGUACGUUCUUUAUCAAGGAGUUAAAAGCGACGCACUUUCUCUUGGGUUUCUGUUUUGUACAUUUAUUACAAUAAUUUUUGCCAUUCAUGACAGUCAAAGACAUUAUUAAUGGUAGAGGCAAAGAUUUGCUUAUCGUUUGCGUGUUGAAUUGAUUGAUUUUAUUAAUUGGAAGUUUAUUUUGAAUAAAUUAAUUAAAUUUAAAUAAUUUUAUUAAUUCGAUUAAUUUUUAUUAAUUUAAUAAAAUUAAACCUUCUAUAUUUUAAUAGAUAAUUUUUUACAUCCAAAAAAAAAAUCAAAAUUUAAAAGUAAAACAUACUAAAAGUAUUAAUAAAUGAAAAUAUUCGGUACAAUUUUAUUGGAGUUUAAGAACCUUACAAGGAGGUUUUAAUGAGUUGAGUUCGCUUAAGCAUAGUAUUAAUACAUUUUACGAUUAUUUAAGCUCGGUUCGACCUGAAAUAUGAUUCUAAAAAUUUGUUUAAAUUUGCUCAUAUUUGUAGAUGGUUAAUCCAAACUUAAUUUAGGCUUGUCUAUAUUAUUUUUAAGGGUAAACUACACUAAUAAUUGCCCAACUAUUAAUAUUCUUUUUGUUACCCAACUAUAAAAAAUUACAAAAUGGUCACUCAACUAUUAGCAAUGGCGGAGCCAUUUUUUUUUGGCGGAAUUAAAUUAUAUAUUUUUACAAUAGUAAAAAUAUAAUUUCACCAUUUAAUAGUUUAUAUCUUUAUAAUUUUUAAAGGAUUAAAUCAAAUUUUUAUCAUUUUGGGAGCCAAAGUGUAAUUUACCAUUACUAAUUUAAAAUUAUAUAAAUUAUAAAUGGCCUAAAUGGAAAAUUUCCCAUUUUAGGAGGCUGCUAGCCCCCUGGCUAUUAGUAAAUUUUAUUUUUAGUCAACAAAUUAUGAAAAGUUCUAAAAUAAUCAUCAAACCAUUCAAUUUUAUCUUUUUUGGUCACUAACUAACUAAUGUACAAAUAGAAACACACAAUAAUCCCAUAUUGUUGGGUGAUUAAAAAAGACAAAAUUGAAGAAUUAAAUGACUAUUUUGUAACUUUUCAUAGUUGGGUGACGAGAAAAGAAAUUUACUAAUAUUUAAGUUACUACUAGUGUAGGUACACUUUUAAAAUUUUUAAAUUAUUUUUAUUUAAUAUUAAUAAUUGUAUAUAUUUUUCAUUUAUUAAAAUUAUAUUUACAAGCAAUUAACAUUUUUCUUAAAUAUGUUUACAUUAUAGUAUUAUAUAUUAUUAUAGAUUUAAUUUUUCGUGUUAUAAAUUAUAUAAUAUAUUAUAAAUUUAAAAAAAAAUCGAGCUCAAGCUUCAAAUGCUUGGGUUUAGGCUAGACCCAAACUUAUACUAUAGAGGAGUUUAAGUUUUUAUCUAAAUUUAUUUUUAAAACUAACAUUUUCGUUUAAAUCUUCUUAAAUUUUGAAUGAAUUUUUGGUCGUGAGUACAUAGGCCACCCAGUUUAGUGAUGUCAAGUGAAUGUAGUGUAGGUGAAAGGAAAAUUAUUUUAUACAUGUGGAGGGUGUUAUGAAGUAUAUUAAAAUAAAUAAAAUAAAAUAUAUAAAUGAACGGUAUUACUUAAAAAGGAGAAAAAAAAUUCACAAUAGUGACGGUACAAUAAAAAGAAAAUGGAUGAUCGGGUGAGGUGAAUGGGCCACUGUCCCUUUAGCAGGGCAAUGGAAUGGAAGAGGAGCAAAAAGGAACCAACUUUAGGGAGUGUCUGGAGACUCGGGUAUUGGUCGGGGGCCCAUCGGUCCCUUCUUUUCACACCGUGAUUGCCGCUCGUCUUGCCUUGCCCCCAAGGAAAUGAAACUAUGGGGGACCCACCAACCCUUCGACCUUGGGAAACCCCAUUGAUUAGGCGUCAUGCUUCACCAACACUGUUGCUAUUCCAAAGUCGCUAAUCGACAAAUAUCACCCCAUGAUUUGCACAUUUCUAAACAAACUAGCAAGGGACUUCUUUUCCCCUGAAAUUGUCGAUUCAAAAUGAAUUCUACACUUGCUAAGUUUUGCUUGAAAAGACAAAAGCCAAAAUAAGAUUCUUCUUCAAAAACCAAAAUAUGGACAAAAUUGAGUUCAACCUAGGAAACUAUAUGUAUAUUUAAUUGCCAUAUCUUUCAUCAAUCUUUCUUUUAUUCGACAUAAAUGUGAAUGUUUUUUAACUUGAUAAAAAUAGAAAAUCUAUCCAUGAAUUACUCAGCAUACUUGCCACAAAUUUCACACAAAACGAUAAGUUACAUCUUCUAGAUAUACUUUACUAUUUAAAUUGUAAUAAUUAAUCAUCAAGUUUAUAAGCUAAGCAUUGCGCCAAAAAUGAUGACAAAAUCAAUUUUCCUUGUGUCUUCUUGCAAACUUUCACAUCUACUUAAUACUAUCACUAUUACUAAUUAGCAUUAAGAUUACCCAAAAAAACUCUCACUUAAUCAUUAAACAAUCUUAACAAAGUUCAAUAAUGACAAUACUUGGGAGAGUAGAGCAUUAUAUUAAUUUCCCACUUUCCAACCAAUAAAUUACUACUAUUAAUUACAUAAAUUUAUUAGGGGUACCUUCUUGCUACUCAAUACUAUAUUUUAAUUAUUGUGUUUCCUCAACCUCAAGCCCAACAAAUUACAAAACCAAAUAUUUUACUAAUUGUCGUUUUAAACAUUAGAGCUUUAUUCUUUUAAUACGUAUUUACCUCUCUUUUUUCACCUUUAAGGCUUUUUAUCAAACGAGUGGCACGCAUAGCAUUGCCAAUUGGCAAAUCAAGAAACUUUUUUUUUUGGCUCCUUGGCUUUUUUAAUCUUCAACUUUUCUGGGUAUUGACGAGGAAUUGAAAAGAAGAAGAAGAAGAAGAAGAGGAAAAUGGAUGGAGCAGAGAUGGAGUUAGAGAGGAGAAGCAAGUUCUUAAACAGUUUGAUCCAAAAGAAGAAAGCUAUAGAACAACAAGAGCAAAAUGAACGUCUCAAUGUUAAAGUCAGAGCUUCUGAUAUGCCUUUAGCUCUUCAAAACAAGGCUUUUAAAUGUGCCCGAGACCAGCUUGACUAUAUGCCUGGAAAGCUUGAUAGUAAACGCCUAGCUCUUGCCCUUAAGAAGGUUAAAAAAUCAAACUUUCUUGUCUUUUUUUUUGUUCUGCUUUUAUUACCGUUGAAUCUUUGGUUAGAUUCAUUUUUUUGACGUAAAGAAUUAAUGGGUUUGUUUAGAUUUCUCAUUUGAUUGUUUUAGUUGACGCAUUUAUAACUUCUGCAUGUAGGUAAUAUUAUAUUUUUUUUGGCAUAACGUUGGAUAAAUUUGGUUCUUUUUGGGUGUAAUUGAUUUUCUAACAUGGUGUUGGGCGAGUAAGGUUGAAUGCUAUGGUUGGAUUUAUAAGAGUUAUAGAUAUUAAUAAUGCAAGUGAGAAUUGACUGAAAAGUUUUCUAUUUUUAGUUGUGCAAAUCAAAUCUUGUCUUUUCGUAAUUCAGCUUAAUUGAAGACAUUAUGAUAUAUCCCUUUUUGGUUUUCUCUUUACUCUUUUUUCUUUGUACCAUAUUGAAUUUGUUAUCCUGCUUCUAAAUGCUGAUAUGAAUUCCAGUGUUCUAUGUUGCUUCAAAACCCCAUUGCUUAUCCACUUAUUCCAACUGCAAGAAUAUGUAGCUAAUUAGCUUCGAUGGUCCUUGUGAUAUUUGAAAUAUUCCAUUUGCAUCUAUGUGCAAUCCAACUUUGUUCAGUUUAUGAAUUUAUCACCUGCAAUAUUUGGAGUUAGAAUAGGCCACAGAUUAUAAUCGUUUCGUUUUCCAAAUAUCAGACGUAUUUGCUCCUCUGAUAACAGGCACAAGCUCACAAAGCGUUUUCAUGAUGAAAUAACUUCUCAAUAAUCACUAGGUUCAAAUUUGGCCUGGCCUGAAUUUAUGGAAGUGGGUUAGACAUCCUUGAUAUGGUGCAAGAUGUGUACGUGCAAUGAUUUUGCAUAAUUUGAAAAUGGUUUCUAACAUACCCUUCCUCGUAGGCAUACGAGGAGUAUGAAGUCUGUUUACUCAUUAUUCUGUUGGCAAUGAGUCAUCUACUUGUCCAGUCUCUGAAUCUAAACUAGCACAUCAAAGCCGUGUAAAUUUACUAUAUAAAUAUAACAAAAAUCAUGUGGCCCUCAAGUUUAAUAUCAUUCAUAGCAUUUGAUCACUUUGUUUAUACAGUGUUUGAAAAUAUUAUGAUACACUUGCUUUUGAGAGUAACCUCUCAUUUUGAGUUAGAGUAAACCACUCAUGUCUCGAAGAGACAGCAUAUUCGCUUCU